GGCACAGGGAACCUACUGCACGAGACUUUCU
This 31-nucleotide non-coding RNA is filed under the name Homo sapiens (human). Lineage: Eukaryota; Metazoa; Chordata; Mammalia; Primates; Hominidae. The record is from RNAcentral.